RNAcentral lists this ribosomal RNA (217 nucleotides) under Campeiostachys nutans. Its description in RNAcentral is "Elymus nutans partial small subunit ribosomal RNA". The stretch from base 39 to 217 matches the Rfam family "Eukaryotic small subunit ribosomal RNA", at positions 684 to 864 of the family's 1831-position model. Lineage: Eukaryota; Viridiplantae; Streptophyta; Magnoliopsida; Poales; Poaceae. The record is from RNAcentral.
GGAUCAAUUUGCCGGUCGAGACCUCUGGUACGUACUUGUAUUAUUGAUUUCUCCCUUCUGACGAACCAUGAUGUCAUUAAUUUGAUGUCGUGGAGAAUCAGGACUGUUACUUUGAAAAAAUUAGAGUGUUUAAAGCAGGCUCACGCUUGAAUACAUUAGCAUGGAAUAAUGAAAUAGGACGUUUGAUUCUAUUUUGUUGGUUUCUAGGAUCGACGUA